This 310-nucleotide unclassified non-coding RNA is filed under the name plant metagenome. Its description in RNAcentral is "partial contains 5.8S ribosomal RNA, internal transcribed spacer 2, and large subunit ribosomal RNA". The stretch from base 1 to 105 matches the Rfam family "5.8S ribosomal RNA", at positions 50 to 154 of the family's 154-position model. The record is from RNAcentral.
GAAAUGCGAUAAGUAGUGUGAAUUGCAGAAUUCAGUGAAUCAUCGAAUCUUUGAACGCACAUUGCGCCCCUUGGUAUUCCAUGGGGCAUGCCUGUUCGAGCGUCAUUUGUACCCUCAAGCUCUGCUUGGUGUUGGGUGUUUGUCCCCGUCUCCGCGCGUGGACUCGCCCCAAAGUGAUUGGCAGCCGGCGUCCUGGUCCCGGAGCGCAGCACAUGUCGCGCAAACGAGUGCCUUGGUACGGCGGCGUCCAUAAGCCCCUCUCUCACGCUCUUGACCUCGGAUCAGGUAGGGAUACCCGCUGAACUUAAGC